This is a long non-coding RNA of Pantherophis guttatus, 630 nucleotides long. RefSeq lists it as uncharacterized. Lineage: Eukaryota; Metazoa; Chordata; Lepidosauria; Squamata; Colubridae. The record is from RefSeq and is a predicted model, not a curated record.
UAAAAGUAUAGAGGCCAAGCAAGAAAAAACACAACUUGGAAAGGUACAAGAGCUCUACCCACUGGCUGUAAAAAGUGACAACAGAGAAGAAAAAAGUAGAAGAAAUCUCAGAGAAAAAAAAGAUAGAACACGCUAUAGGUAUCUACUGCUGCAUGGCUCAGGACCAGGUUAUCUUCGAGACCGCCUUCUGCUGCAUAGCUCCCAGCGACCGAAACCACUGGCAGAUGAAUAGACUACAAAAUGUCCUGAUGAAUGCAGCUUAGAAAAACGUGGUCUACUACUGAAUAUUUCAGAUUACAUCAAUCCCUUCUGGCUAGAAAUCAAAUGGAACAUGGAGAACUUGAAAGAUAUUGAUUUACUGACAGUUGUUGAAAAGAGCAGCCAAAGUUGGAAAGGCUUUGUUUAUUUCCAUUACUAUUGGAUGCCCUGUUUUUAUUUGUCUUUCAUGAAUUCAGAUGACAAUCUUCAAGCAUUUGAAUACGCAUUUGCUGUUUUAUUUCCUGUUAGUCCAGUGCGGAGGGCCAAAGUCUGAGUUACCUCAUCAAAUGUUUAUAUCCAACUUGGAAGUGUUUGCAAGGAAAAAUAAACUGAUGUCUUUAGAUAGGAUGGAAAAUAAUCCCUGCCCUUCUA